Molecule: ribosomal RNA, 697 nt
Filed under: Aeneolamia contigua
Lineage: Eukaryota; Metazoa; Arthropoda; Insecta; Hemiptera; Cercopidae
Description: SSU rRNA
Rfam family: Eukaryotic small subunit ribosomal RNA
Source: RNAcentral
GUCGGUGUCAACUGGCAUGUCCUGUGGAACGUCCUGCCGGUGGCGGACCGGGCUUUCGGCUUGCGUAAGGGCUUACGCUCGAAGCAGGCCGAACAGUACCGGCCGCCGGUCCAAUCCCGCCACGGUGCUCUUCACCGAGUGUCGAGGUGGGCCGGCACGUUUACUUUGAACAAAUUAGAGUGCUUAAAGCAGGCUGGUGUCCGCCUGAAUACUGUGUGCAUGGAAUAAUAGAAUAGGACCUCGGUUCUAUUUUGUUGGUUUUCGGAACCCGAGGUAAUGAUUAAUAGGGACAGGCGGGGGCAUUCGUAUUGCGACGUUAGAGGUGAAAUUCUUGGAUCGUCGCAAGACGAACCUAAGCGAAAGCAUUUGCCAAGUAUGUUCUCGUUAAUCAAGAACGAAAGUUAGAGGUUCGAAGGCGAUCAGAUACCGCCCUAGUUCUAACCAUAAACGAUGCCAGCCAGCGAUCCGCCGAAGUUCCUCCGAUGACUCGGCGGGCAGCUUCCGGGAAACCAAAGCUUUUGGGUUCCGGGGGAAGUAUGGUUGCAAAGCUGAAACUUAAAGGAAUUGACGGAAGGGCACCACCAGGAGUGGAGCCUGCGGCUUAAUUUGACUCAACACGGGAAACCUCACCAGGCCCGGACACCGGAAGGAUUGACAGAUUGAGAGCUCUUUCUUGAUUCGGUGGGUGGUGGUGCAU